CUGAGCGAGGUCAGGGAUCAAACCCACAACCUCAUGGCUCCUAGUCGGAUUCAUUUCUGCUGCAUCAUGAUGGGAACUCCACAUUUUCUCCAUUUUUGAAUAGAAACUGUCUGUAAGAAUUAUCUUCUACUUGCCUGCAAUUGAUUGUAUUCUAGAUGUGUGUGUGUGUGUACAGUUGUUUCUUUAGUUUGUAGAUCUUCAGAUUGAGAAGAAAGAUACUCAAGGAGCUAUACCCAAGCAACUAUACCUGAGCAGCUUCAUCUGCACCUGAUCUGACAUAAAUGAUACAGUCUUGGGCUUUGAGCCUGAGCAGAAUGUUAGAAUGCAAUGAGACAUUUGGGAGAAAUGUGAAGGAGGGGUCAGUAUAUAAUACAUGUAGGAGGAAUAUGAACCACUGUAGCCGAAGGCACAUUUUCUGAAGAUUGUUACAAUGUUUUCCAUUCCACAUACUCUUCUAGAACAUUUCCGCUCUCCUUUUGAGAGGUAGACUCUAUAUUCUCCUUGAACUUGGUGGGUUUUUGUGAUUGCCUUGACCAGUAGAGUACAGCAAAAGCGAUGCUACGUAACUUCCAAGACUAGGUCAAAAAUAUGUCAUGCGAUUCCGCCUUGCUAUGUUGGGAUGCUCGCUUUUGGAACCCAGCCCAAUUAGCCAUUGUAAAAGGCCACAGGGAGAGGACUGAGACCCUGUGAACCCAAAGCCCUCCCUGAGGUCCUGGCAGACAGCCAGUACAACUUCCCUGCCGUGUGAGUGAGAAAAAUGAAUGGUUAACGUUUUAAGCCACUCUGCCUUGGGGUGUUUUUUAACAUAGAAUAGAUAACUGAAAUGCACCCCAGAACAUAAUCAUGUAAACAAUAUUUUGUUCCUAAAUCCACAGUUUGGACAGCGAUUGACUGGGACAAGUAUUCUCUGCCUCAGGAAAUCUUAAGUCUUCACUGGGCAGGUUCAAAUAGCUGAGGGCUGGCAUCUUCUGGAGGUUCUUUUUCACUCACAUUUCUAGUGCUUGGGCUGUGAUGCCCAAAGGCUGGGCUCCAGUGGAACAGUGACGGGAAGCGCUUACACUUUGCCUCUCCAUGUAGUUCGGGUUUCCUCACAGCAUCACAGCCUCACAGUAGUCAGACCUCUUAGGGUGGUUCAGGGUUCCAAGAGCAAGUGUUUCCAGCAGACAGGGUGGGACCUUCAUGGCCUUUAUGACCUAGCUUCUGAAGUCGUCAACUCUGCUCUACUGUACGAAUCGAAGCAGUCAGAAAUGUAUGCAGAUUUGAGGGGAGGGGACAUAGAUCUCUCACUUCUUGGUGGCAGAAAUGUCAAAGAAAAGAAUUUAUGGCUAUGUCAUGAAACUGUCACAAAUGAUUUUUCUGUGCUGUGUUAAAUAUCAUUUUCUAUGUAGUUAAAUUGAAGUUUAUAGGUGUUAGGAACUAAGUGUCCCCCGUCCUAUUCAUAUGGUAAAAUCUGAAACCCCAGUGCGAUGGUGUUUGAAAUAAGGGCCUUUGGGAGGUUGUUAGGUCUAAGUGAAGUCAUGAGAGUGAGUCCCCCAUGACAAGAUUAGUGUCCUUAUGAAAAGAGGAAGAGAAACCAGAGCACCCUCUCUCUCCAACAGGUAAGGACACAGGAAGAAGGCAGCUGUCUGUAAGCCAAGAAGAGGCCCCCACCUGGAAGUGAAUCUGCCAGAAGGUUUAUCUUGGACUUUACAGGUUCCCGAAAUCAAUGUUCCAUUUCCUGUGGCUACAGAAUAAAAAACUCUGUGGACAGAUGUAAUUCUCCAAAGAUGUCUGCAACAAAUAACUCCCAUCUCACAUGCUCUUCUAGAAGCUUGCCAUUACUCAUCAGGUUAUAGAGCCCAUACCCAUUUUCCUGGCACCAAUGGUCUUUGUGUCUGCCUCAACCAGGAGUACAGCUGAAGUGAUGCCAUGUGACUUAAAAAGGUAAGGACACAGGAAGAAGGCAGCUGUCUGUAAGCCAAGAAGAGGCCCCCACCUGGAAGUGAAUCUGCCAGAACGUUUAUCUUGGACUUUACAGGUUCCCGAAAUGUGAGAAAGAAAUGUCUGUUGUUUAAGCCACUCCAAUUACGGUAUUUUGUUAUAGAAGCCUGAGCUAAUAGACAGUGCUUCUGGAA
This is a non-coding RNA of Sus scrofa (pig), 2114 nucleotides long. The record is from RefSeq and is a predicted model, not a curated record. Lineage: Eukaryota; Metazoa; Chordata; Mammalia; Artiodactyla; Suidae.